UACGUAGGGUGCGAGCGUUAAUCGGAAUUACUGGGCGUAAAGCGUGCGCAGGCGGUAAUGUAAGACAGAUGUGAAAUCCCCGGGCUUAACCUGGGACCUGCAUUUGUGACUGCAUUGCUGGAGUGCGGCAGAGGGGGAUGGAAUUCCAAGUGUAGCGGUGAAAUGCGUAGAUAUCAAGAGGAACACCGAUGGCGAAGGCAGCUUCUUGGUCCAUACCUGACACUGAGACACGAAAGCGUGGGGAGCAAACAGG
Molecule: ribosomal RNA, 253 nt
Filed under: uncultured bacterium
Lineage: Bacteria
Description: partial 16S ribosomal RNA
Rfam family: Bacterial small subunit ribosomal RNA
Source: RNAcentral